This 64-nucleotide transfer RNA is filed under the name Petrobiellus sp. 1 JZ-2014. Its description in RNAcentral is "tRNA-His". The record is from RNAcentral. Lineage: Eukaryota; Metazoa; Arthropoda; Insecta; Archaeognatha; Machilidae.
AUUUAAUUAGUUUAAUUUAAAACGUUGAUUUGUGGGGUCAGUAAUGUGGUAACUACAUUAAAUU